Molecule: non-coding RNA, 470 nt
Filed under: Pongo abelii (Sumatran orangutan)
Lineage: Eukaryota; Metazoa; Chordata; Mammalia; Primates; Hominidae
Source: RNAcentral
CAAAGUUUAAUACAGUCAUUAUCUUUUACACAUUUGAAAAAAGUAACUUGUUUUAAUUUAUAAAAGAAAAUAGGCUAUAGAAUAUUAAUCUCUGUGAAACAAUAAGACAAAUGUAUGAAAAUUAUUUUAGAGCUACUUUUUCAUGGCCGUUGACCUACUGGAACAAGAGCAAAACCUGCAUUAGAUGAGUGAUCAUAAGAUUCUCCAUAAGUUGAUGUCCAAUAAUAAUGCUUUUUAAGGCCAUUGGAGACUUCUGCAAGAUAUACACGUCCAUCUACCACAAAUGGCUCCACAUCUGUAUUGUCUGGUUUUAAACAACCCAUUUGAAUUAAGUCUGAAUAUGCCUAGGAUUUUUAAGAAAAGAAAAACUAUAUCAUUAAGAAAAAAUGUAUCCAAUUUACAGUGCUUAAGGAAAUUUAAAUAUUCAAAUUAGCUGUGUUAAUUUGUAGUUUAAAAUAUUCUGAAUAACA